RNAcentral lists this ribosomal RNA (301 nucleotides) under uncultured bacterium. RNAcentral's name for it is "partial 16S ribosomal RNA". It matches the Rfam family "Bacterial small subunit ribosomal RNA", at positions 509 to 807 of the family's 1533-position model. The record is from RNAcentral.
CAGUAGCCGCGGUAAUACGUAGGGUGCGAGCGUUAAUCGGAAUUACUGGGCGUAAAGCGUGCGCAGGCGAUUCGUUAAGACAGAUGUGAAAUCCCCGGGCUUAACCUGGGAACUGCAUUUGUGACUGGCGGGCUAGAGUAUGGCAGAGGGGGGUAGAAUUCCACGUGUAGCAGUGAAAUGCGUAGAGAUGUGGAGCAAUACCGAUGGCGAAGGCAGCCCCCUGGGCCAAUACUGACGCUCAUGCACGAGAGCGUGGGGAGCAAACAGGAUUAGAGACCCGAGUAGUCCCUGUCUCUUAUAC